CACUUGAAAUCGAAAGUGAAAGUAAAGCUGAACAGCAGCUCGACGCCUGAACCCAUCUUCAUGGGCUCAUUGUGAUCAGUUUCAGUAAAGAUGGCGACGAGACCUGAAACACUUCCUGAGAUGUCAGCGAUCAGCUCCAGUCCAGAUGAUCCAGUGAUCCGGAUUCUCCUGAUGGGCAGAAACGCUUCUGGGAAAACCUCAUCAGGGAUCACUUUACUGGGAGAAAAUGGAUUUAUAAUGAGUCUGAAGUUUGUGAGGAGAAAAUGUAGGUUGAUGACAACUAGGUGAACGUGACUGAUUCUUCAAAAUGUGCAUAAUAUCGGCCUACUCGUCUCUGGGACCGAAGAAGAAACUUAGAAGUGCACCUCCCACUUUGAAAAACCUGCUGAUCUCCAACGGGAUUGAGUGGCGGAGGAACAGCAAAUCACACGAGUGAACUGGACCGGAAUAUUCAAACUCAUGGUCUUGUAGCAGAGGCUGCCGCCGGGCGC
Sinocyclocheilus rhinocerous is the source of this 491-nucleotide long non-coding RNA. RefSeq lists it as uncharacterized. The transcript is spliced from 3 exons. Lineage: Eukaryota; Metazoa; Chordata; Actinopteri; Cypriniformes; Cyprinidae. The record is from RefSeq and is a predicted model, not a curated record.